ACCCUUAGAUGUUCUGGGCCGCACGCGCGCUACACUGACGAAUGCAACGAGCUUAUAACCUUGGCCGAAAGGUCUGGGUAAUCUCCAAAUUUCGUCGUGAUGGGGAUAGAUUAUUGCAAUUAUUAAUCUUCAACGAGGAAUGCCUAGUAAGCGCAAGUCAUCAGCUUGCGUUGAUUACGUCCCUGCCCUUUGUACACACCGCCCGUCGCUCCUACCGAUUGAAUGGUCCGGUGAAGCGUUCGGACCGUGGCCUUUGGACGGUUCGCCGUCUGUUGGCUGCGGGAAGUUCGUUAAACCCUAUCAUUUAGAGGAAGGAGAAGUCGUAACA
RNAcentral lists this ribosomal RNA (328 nucleotides) under uncultured eukaryote. RNAcentral describes it as "partial 18S ribosomal RNA". It matches the Rfam family "Eukaryotic small subunit ribosomal RNA", at positions 1469 to 1796 of the family's 1831-position model. The record is from RNAcentral.